GUGCCAGCAGCCGCGGUAAGACAGAGGUGGCAAGCGUUGUUCGGAAUCACUGGGCUUAAAGGGCACGUAGGCGGCCCGGCAAGUCGGAUGUGAAAUCCCCUGGCUUAACCAGGGAACUGCAUCCGAAACUACCGGGCUCGAGCGCAGGAGGGGAGAGCGGAACUCCUAGUGGAGCGGUGAAAUGCGUAGAUAUUAGGAGGAACGCCGGUGGCGAAAGCGGCUCUCUGGCCUGCAGCUGACGCUGAGGUGCGAAAGCUAGGGGAGCAAACAGGAUUAGAAACCCCCGUAGUCC
RNAcentral lists this ribosomal RNA (292 nucleotides) under uncultured bacterium. RNAcentral's name for it is "partial 16S ribosomal RNA". It matches the Rfam family "Bacterial small subunit ribosomal RNA", at positions 505 to 796 of the family's 1533-position model. The record is from RNAcentral.